Molecule: ribosomal RNA, 440 nt
Filed under: uncultured bacterium
Lineage: Bacteria
Description: partial 16S ribosomal RNA
Rfam family: Bacterial small subunit ribosomal RNA
Source: RNAcentral
UCUACGGGAGGCAGCAGUGGGGAAUAUUGCACAAUGGGGGAAACCCUGAUGCAGCGACGCCGCGUGAGUGAAGAAGUAAUUCGUUAUGUAAAGCUCUAUCAGCAGGGAAGAAAAUGACGGUACCUGAGUAAGAAGCCCCGGCUAACUACGUGCCAGCAGCCGCGGUAAUACGUAGGGGGCAAGCGUUAUCCGGAUUUACUGGGUGUAAAGGGAGCGUAGGCGGUUUAGCAAGUCAGAAGUGAAAGCCCGGGGCUCAACUCCGGGACUGCUUUUGAAACUGUUGAACUAGAUUGCAGGAGAGGUAAGUGGAAUUCCUAGUGUAGCGGUGAAAUGCGUAGAUAUUAGGAGGAACACCAGUGGCGAAGGCGGCUCACUGGACUGUAAAUGACGCUGAGGCUCGAAAGCGUGGGGAGCAAACAGGAUUAGAUACCCUGGUAGUC